Molecule: long non-coding RNA, 389 nt
Organism: Bolinopsis microptera
Lineage: Eukaryota; Metazoa; Ctenophora; Tentaculata; Lobata; Bolinopsidae
Exons: 3
Source: RefSeq, a predicted model, not a curated record
AAACUGACUGUUCCAAAUUUUCAUUUAGGGUCACUGGUGUCACAUGAGUAUUGAGUAAUGAGUAUGAGGAUUUGUACAUUAAGGAAGAUAGGACUGUUGGGUAUUCUUGGUAUUUUAUCCAUCUUCGCCAUACACAGUUUAAAUGACACGUUUCAGCUUUAUGGACAGUGUUCAACCCCUACCUUGGCAUCCUUGACUACGAGUGAGUCUUCCCCUGUUAUCACAUCUCAAACCAUCUUCUCAUCCGGACACUGCACAAUGGAAGGAAGAGCUGAAAGCGUCCAAAAUAGAUGUUCCCCUACUAAGGGUAUACAUCACAAUGGGGCGGAUCUGCAGGUAUCGGAUUUGGUGGAAAAUCUCCCAUUCGAGCAAGGAACAUUAGGUUAAUU